UUGCUGGAUGUGUCACUGAGGAUUUGGCACAUAGCAUUCAAACACUGUACCUGGAUUUAUUUCAUGUAUUCAUGUGCUUUUGUGUUUCUACUAGUAGCCGAACUGAAAAACAACAACAUUAGAAGUUUAAAUCAGAGGCCUUUCUCCCCACUUCAAAAUAUGACGAGACAUAAAACCAUGGGAAUGCACCACCUGAAUGCUGCCUGUAGGGGGUUGAGGACAGCAGGCAGAGUGAAUCUUGCCCAUUGGAUUGCCUUGAGAAGGUCUCUGAAAAUAGGCCAGUGGGGCCCUCUCCCCUUUCAACUGAGGACAGUAAUGUGGAACAGGAGCUCACUGACACAGCAUCUGACCACCCGGUGCCCAAGUACAAGAAAUAGAAGCGGAGGAAGAACUGCUUCAAGCGCUUACUAGUCUGGACAUGGAAGACAUUCUGCUGCUACAGCAGUGUCAACAAUGAAGAGGACUGAAUAAUGCUACGAAGGUUUUUUAGCAGCAACACCUUGCUGGCUGGAUUUCUCACAGGAAAUGUACAGAGUUUGCAUGUGAUAUGGUACCUUGCAUUGACACUGUGGGAAAUCAAUGUCAGCUGUCAUGAGUUGUGCUGUAAAAAACCUUCAUGGUUGUUGAGGGUGGCACAGUGGCAGCAGUCAGUGGUUAGCACUGUGGCCUCACAGAGAGCACCUAACAUCUGUUCCUCUCUGAAGAGUUUGCAUUUUCCCUCCAUGUCAGCAUGGGUUUUCUCUAGGUCCUCCGGUUUCCUCCCACAGUCCAAAAAACAUGCAGGUUAAUUGGAGACUCAAAAUUGACACUUUAUCUGAUCCUAUUUGAACUAA
This is a long non-coding RNA of Epinephelus fuscoguttatus (brown-marbled grouper), 833 nucleotides long. RefSeq lists it as uncharacterized. The transcript is spliced from 4 exons. The record is from RefSeq and is a predicted model, not a curated record. Lineage: Eukaryota; Metazoa; Chordata; Actinopteri; Perciformes; Serranidae.